This 484-nucleotide ribosomal RNA is filed under the name uncultured bacterium. RNAcentral describes it as "partial 16S ribosomal RNA". It matches the Rfam family "Bacterial small subunit ribosomal RNA", at positions 30 to 507 of the family's 1533-position model. The record is from RNAcentral.
AUUGAACGCUGGCGGCAGGCCUAACACAUGCAAGUCGAGCGGAUGAAGGGAGCUUGCUCCUGGAUUCAGCGGCGGACGGGUGAGUAAUGCCUAGGAAUCUGCCUGGUAGUGGGGGAUAACGUCCGGAAACGGGCGCUAAUACCGCAUACGUCCUGAGGGAGAAAGUGGGGGAUCUUCGGACCUCACGCUAUCAGAUGAGACUAGGUCGGAUUAGCUAGUUGGUGGGGUAAAGGCCUACCAAGGCGACGAUCCGUAACUGGUCUGAGAGGAUGAUCAGACACACUGGAACUGAGACACGGUCCAGACUCCUACGGGAGGCAGCAGUGGGGAAUAUUGGACAAUGGGCGAAAGCCUGAUCCAGCCAUGCCGCGUGUGUGAAGAAGGUCUUCGGAUUGUAAAGCACUUUAAGUUGGGAGGAAGGGCAGUAAGUUAAUAUCUUGCUGUUUUGACGUUACCAACAGAAUAAGCACCGGCUAACUUCGUG